GUCACCGCCUCGCGCAAAACGAGGAAGGGUUGCGGCAGAUCGGUGCGCGGAGGCCCGGCACGUACGACGAACAGCUGCUUCCUCUGGAGUCACGCAGGUUCAACGCUGAGAGCGAGCGAACGCAGACUCCACCAGCAGCAAAUGUAGGACCGUCUCUACUUUGUAGGAGCUCUGGACAUGUUCUGACUAAACAGAACUGCAGGUUACAUCAGCAAAAUAGGAAAGUCCCCGCUGUGACGUCACACUGCCGGGCUGCAGCGCUCGGACCACACAGAGAGGCCGGCACCGAGGAGGAAGCGGGCGUUCAGUGUAACUGCAGGGAAACAACAGCCUGUGGCCAACAGACAUUGUGUCUUCGUGUUUGUGUCAGUUCUCAUACCAUUAAUUACUGUUUUCCCUUCUCUCACAAACACGUUCCAUAUAAAUGUGUUACACAUUCUGAUGAAUGAUGGUCACAGGUUCAGUUCAUAUCCUCAUGGAGCGAAACUGUUUGAAUUGAGACUAGCUCAAAUCGGUGAUGAUCAGCAAAGAUCCAGUGUCAUGUUACAUGGACUCACGGUGACAUCGAUUAGUCAGAGAGCCGCCCCUCAGAGCAGCGAACCAGUCAGACCUGUGUCUGACUAGAACCGCUUCUGUCGGCAGCUACAGUCACAGGAAUCAGGAAUAAUUGAUUCUUAUCUAGUGAAGGACCACACACACGAGUGUGUAUAAAUGCUGCAGAGAAAGCUUGUUCACACACACACACACACACACACACACACACACACACACACACACACACACACACACACACACACACACACACACACACACACACACACACACACACACACACACACACACACACACACACACACUCUGCAUAGGACCAAAAACUUAUUGUUUGUUCUGGUAAUUAAUUUAAUACUGUGUAAAUGCUAAUUAUUUAACAGCUAAGCUUUGUAUUAUGUACUGAAAAAAAAAACGAUGAUCAAGUUUCCAGGCAAAGCAAAUGCUUUCAAGACCAAGUACGUAAGUAACUGAACUGCCUCCUAAAGUUCUCAACAUCAUCUAAAAUAUGCUUGAAGCCUCCCAGUGCCCAUUUUUACUUAAACCAAAAGUUAUUUAUUCAGCUAACAGCUAAGCUUAGCUUGUAAAAUAGUAUUAUUAUAUAUCAUUAUUAUAUAUCGGGCUUCUCCAGAGACAUAGUAUGAAAGUGGAUAAUUUCAAGCUUCAGUGUUUAUGCCUUUAAAAAAUAAAACAAAGUGCAGUUUUCUUUA
Betta splendens (Siamese fighting fish) is the source of this 1259-nucleotide long non-coding RNA. RefSeq lists it as uncharacterized. NCBI's taxonomy places the organism in Eukaryota, Metazoa, Chordata, Actinopteri, Anabantiformes, Osphronemidae. The transcript has 3 exons. The record is from RefSeq and is a predicted model, not a curated record.